UGCGAUUUGACCUCGGCAACGAUGUGGUCGAUAAGCCGAGGAUCCCCAGGAAGCAAGGUAUUACCCAAACCUAGAUCCAUCUUACAAUAGCAGCAAUCUUCCACAGGGUAUUGUAAAAAUCAUAUUAAAGAAAGAAAAAGCAUAAACUUGGAUAUGUCAAGGUCAAAUACUCUCCGUGGCGACAGAGAACGAAAGCUGAAAUAUUAUAAAAUA
Phymastichus coffea is the source of this 213-nucleotide long non-coding RNA. RefSeq lists it as uncharacterized. NCBI's taxonomy places the organism in Eukaryota, Metazoa, Arthropoda, Insecta, Hymenoptera, Eulophidae. The transcript has 3 exons. The record is from RefSeq and is a predicted model, not a curated record.